CCGAGUUUACAACUCCCAAACCCCUGUGAACAUACCUAUAUGUUGCCUCGGCGGAUCAGCCCGCGCCCCGUAAAACGGGACGGCCCGCCGCAGGAUCCACAAACUCUGUUUUUAUUGUAACUUCCGAGUAACAAAACAAAUAAAUCA
This 147-nucleotide unclassified non-coding RNA is filed under the name soil metagenome. Its description in RNAcentral is "partial internal transcribed spacer 1". The record is from RNAcentral.